RNAcentral lists this ribosomal RNA (492 nucleotides) under uncultured bacterium. RNAcentral describes it as "partial 16S ribosomal RNA". It matches the Rfam family "Bacterial small subunit ribosomal RNA", at positions 29 to 507 of the family's 1533-position model. The record is from RNAcentral.
AGUGAACGCUGGCGGUAGGCCUAACACAUGCAAGUCGAACGGCAGCACAGUAAGAGCUUGCUCUUACGGGUGGCGAGUGGCGGACGGGUGAGGAAUACAUCGGAAUCUACUUUUUCGUGGGUGAUAACGUAGGGAAACUUACGCUAAUACCGCAUACGACCUACGGGUGAAAGCAGGGGAUCUUCGGACCUUGCGCGAUUGAAUGAGCCGAUGUCGGAUUAGCUAGUUGGCGGGGUAAAGGCCCACCAAGGCGACGAUCCGUAGCUGGUCUGAGAGGAUGAUCAGCCACACUGGAACUGAGACACGGUCCAGACUCCUACGGGAGGCAGCAGUGGGGAAUAUUGGACAAUGGGCGCAAGCCUGAUCCAGCCAUACCGCGUGGGUGAAGAAGGCCUUCGGGUUGUAAAGCACUUUUGUUGGGAAAGAAAAGCAGCAGGUUAAUACCCCGCUGUUCUGACGGUUCCCAAAGAAUAAGCACCGGCUAACUUCGUG